GACGAACGCUGGCGGCGUGCUUAACACAUGCAAGUCGAGCGGUAAGGCCCUUCGGGGUACACGAGCGGCGAACGGGUGAGUAACACGUGGGUGACCUGCCCUUAGCUCUGGGAUAAGCCUGGGAAACUGGGUCUAAUACCGGAUAUGACCUCAUGACGCAUGUUGUGGGGUGGAAAGCCUUGUGCGGCUAGGGAUGGGCCCGCGGCCUAUCAGCUUGUUGGUGGGGUGAUGGCCACCAAGGCGACGACGGGUAGCCGGCCUGAGAGGGCGACCGGCCACACUGGGACUGAGACACGGCCCAGACUCCUACGGGAGGCAGCAGUGGGGAAUCUUGCGCAAUGGGCGAAAGCCUGACGCAGCGACGCCGCGUGAGGGAUGACGGCCUC
This 386-nucleotide ribosomal RNA is filed under the name uncultured bacterium. Its description in RNAcentral is "bacterial SSU rRNA". It matches the Rfam family "Bacterial small subunit ribosomal RNA", at positions 28 to 418 of the family's 1533-position model. The record is from RNAcentral.